This is a long non-coding RNA of Ceratitis capitata (Mediterranean fruit fly), 426 nucleotides long. RefSeq lists it as uncharacterized. The record is from RefSeq and is a predicted model, not a curated record. NCBI's taxonomy places the organism in Eukaryota, Metazoa, Arthropoda, Insecta, Diptera, Tephritidae. The transcript is spliced from 2 exons.
CUUUACAGCUAUGACAACACGGCGAGAAGCAAGAAACAGCAGCAAAAACAAUAACUGCACUUACAUACAUAUAAGUAGGUAUAUAUGUAUGUAUAAAAAACCUUCCAACACAGCUGCAUAGCAUACGCAAUAACAAACAACGACUUCAGAAUGUUGCAACAACAACAACAGCGGCAGCAGCAACAACAACAACAACAACAGUAACGGCAACAACACACUUUAUUUGCCAUUUUACGCUUGGCCUGUAGCUGUGUCCCCGGAGUGGUAAACCGACGUGCAACUCACUAAAAGAGUAGAAGUAGAAGAAGAAGAAAGGAGUGGCAAGUGCAUAAAGCAGAGGAGAAGUGCAAUUGAGCCGAGCGAAUGCGGCCAGAGAGACAACACAGUAAACAGUCAAAAAGUAGAAACAAAAAAUAAAUAAAAAAA